GUACGAGCUUCCGCUUUCGAAAGAGUGAUAAUAUCGAAGGAAGUAUCAUUGGCAUGUGACAACAGAACAAGCAAAUGUGGCCUGUUAUGAACCAGGCCACCAACUUAUCAAAAUGGGAAACUGUCUAGCAAGAUGUUGUGGCAAGCUAGACAGGAGGAGAAAUUACUUCAAGUCAAGAGAUAGCACAGACCAGUUUCAGUCAAUAGAGUUUGAAAACUUGAUGGAUGAUGAUACACCACAGGAUGAGAUGAGCCGACUGUUGACUGACCGAGAGGUACAGCUGCUGAAGUCCCGACAGUUUGAUGUCAUAGUGCAUGAACAAAAGCGAAUUGAUCAAGAGUUAGAGAUAAAGCUGUCUCAUCAAGAAGAGGAGCUGAAAAGAGAAGAAGAGGCCUAUUUUGAAGCCAAGCGAGAAGCAGCUUACAUUGCCAAACUCCAGAGAGCCAAAGAAAAAACUGCUAUAAAGAAUGCCUCCAUUAACGGGUCUCGUUCAUGGCUGGGUGAUGAUGAGGAAUGGGAAGUUGCAGGAGGAGAGGAUGAUUUUGAAAUUUUUCUGGCAAAUGUUAAAGCAAGAUCCUUAGCUGCACGUGCACAGAUACAUGCAAGUUAUGGGGAUGUAAACAGCUCAAGCAGCAGCACAGCCAAACUAAAGACCGGUCUUUGACAGAAGGAUCAUCCCUUGAUCUCGAAUGGGACCAUGAGGCAGAUGGGCAAUAAGUGCAACCUUUUUUUGAAAGUUUCUGUUUUUGUUGAUGGGGUGGAGCCAGAGAUAAAACCUCGUUCACACACAGAAGAAGACUUGACUGAACUUGUGUACAAGACACGGGCAGAAACUAGUAGCUCAUUACAUUCCAGUGACCUUGAAUGGGAUGAUACAUUUGUUAGUGCAGAUGAGACUGAACGCCAGCAGUUGAUCAGAAUUAGCUGCAAGGAUGAGAUAAGGUGAUACCAUGAGAAGUUUUGUAUCUGUGAGGAUCUGUGUAGUGUGACUGCAGGAUAGAAUGAUAGUGACACUUCUGCAUUCCAAAAAGCCGUAUAUAGAUUCAGAUUAGACAUAACUGUCCCUCCUGAAAAUGCAGUGCUCUGUAUGAGGCCAUUGGUGGAUGCAUGUCAAGAUAUGCUCUUCAUCUGCAUUGAUAUCAAAUUGCUGCCCCUUAUUUUUGGCUUUAGAAUCACAAGCACUCCCAUUCACAUUUUUCAUGAGUAUUGCAGCAUAAGAAAAUUAAAAAAGAAGCACUCAUAUUUUUCAGAGGUCUUUGAAAUUUAAAAAAGGCUAAAAAUGCCUCUUCUGUUUUUCAUAAGAAGUCUUUUUUUUAACAGAUAAUAAUUAUUCCAAAAGGCAUUUUUACCAGUUUGCUGCUUUAUGAAACUCAUGAGGUUCAGCGGAAACUGUCAGUAUGUUUUCCAGCAAUGAUUGCUUGUGAUUUCAAGAAAAUAAGACUGAAAAUUUUAUUUCAAGAGAUUUUGGAGUAUUUUAAAAUGCAUAAUCCAUGACACAUAAUCUCAAAUUUCAUUUCUUUUAAUAUCUUAGUUGGUUCCAUUUGAAGUUCAGCUUUGCAUUCAAUUUAAAUGUUAAAGUGUUAGAUUGCCGAUGUCAUAAUUUUAUCCUUUGGUCAGUUGGAUGAAUGGUCAGAGAAUAGAGUGAUAAUAAUUAAUUUAUUUUUUAAUAAAUGAUGACCUUGAGGGUUGUUACGGAAUGUUUGACUCAGUUCUGGUUUGUUAAAGUGGCCACCAAAAAAAUACUGUAGAUUUUUUAAUAUUAUUUUUAGCAGGCGCUGCAAAAUUCAUGCAUAUUAAUGUGAGAGCAUUGAUAUUGUGUGUGCAUGUGAAGAUGCAUUUAUGUGCAGUGAGGAUGCAUUUAUCUGUAAAGCACUCUUUCAUGCUGGUCUAAAAGGAAGAAGCUUAACAAGCAGUUGAUAGAAUCGCUGUGUAAAUAUGUAUUGUAUGUGGUGUAUACUUCUUUGUGUCAAAUGAAAGCAGGUAACUGCUUAAUCCAUCCAGAGGUUAUGUAUAGUGGGUCAGUCAUCAUUUCUUGUCCAUGUGGCUGAGAAAUCCUCCGUCUUCAUUUGUAAAAAUGUAAAUAAAACUUUCUAACACCUU
RNA transcript from Pomacea canaliculata, 2100 nucleotides. It is a transcript of the gene named AP-1 complex-associated regulatory protein-like, with no coding region annotated. The record is from RefSeq and is a predicted model, not a curated record. Lineage: Eukaryota; Metazoa; Mollusca; Gastropoda; Architaenioglossa; Ampullariidae. The transcript has 10 exons.